RNAcentral lists this ribosomal RNA (3163 nucleotides) under Uriunceustreptus sp. QY-2009. RNAcentral's name for it is "partial 28S ribosomal RNA". It matches the Rfam family "Eukaryotic large subunit ribosomal RNA". The record is from RNAcentral. Lineage: Eukaryota; Metazoa; Arthropoda; Diplopoda; Spirostreptida; Harpagophoridae.
GCAGUGGUGCAAUGUGGUGUAAGGGAAGGUCUGUUCUGUUGGAGUGCCUGGUGUCCAAGUCCCCCUGACUGGGGCCAUGACCCAAGGAGGGUGCAAGGCCCGUGUGGCCCGGCAAACUCUGUGCUCCAAUGGUCGGAUCCUUUCCCAGGAGUCGGGUUGCUUGAGAGUGCAGCCCUAAGUGGGUGGUAAACUCCAUCUAAGGCUAAAUACUUGCCACGAGACCGAUAGCAAACAAGUACCGUGAGGGAAAGUUGCAAAGAACUUUGAAGAGAGAGUUCAAGAGUGCGUGAAACCGUUCGGAGGUAAACGGGUGGGACCUCGAAGGUCGAACGGAUGGGGAGGGAUUCAACCCGCUGCCAUGGCACCCAAGCCGUAGUGAUUGCAUUCCAGACUCCGGCCUGGUUGCCCUACGUGCAGUGGAGUGACAUCGUUGUAGCGGGUGCAUUUCCCGGCACCCCCUUCCUAGUAGGACGCCGCGACCGGUUGGAAUGUUGAACGCGGGAGACCAGGAGCGGGGCCAAUGGUAGCUGCACAGGUGCAUUCGGUCGGCGGCAUUUAUAUGCUCCCUGCCGCACCUGCUUGUCUGGCCGGGCCAUGGCGUAGUGUCUCUCACUCCGACCGAGGUGCUAAGUGCGCAUUGGCUCCCUGCAAGGGCCAUGCGUCUAUUAUCGUUCCCUGCAUCCCUCUGCUCAGGUAGACAGAGUCCACCGGGUGGUGUCGGCCUGUCAGGUGUAGUGGUCCCUCGUGGCUGCCACCUGUGCAAGGCUUUGAUUACUGCUGUCAGUGACGGACACAGGCUCCUGACUUUGGGAACUGAGGGUUCAGCGGCGAGUAGGUUGGUAUCCCACCCGACCCGUCUUGAAACACGGACCAAGGAGUCUAACAUGCUUGCGAGUCUUCGGGGCCUGACAAACCCCAUGAAGGCGGAAUGAAAGUGAAGGCGGUUUUUAUGGAUUGCCUAGGCAGGAUCCUGAAGGUGAGAGUCUUCAGGCGCACUGCCGGCCCGUCCUCAGGUCGCUUGCCGAUCGGGCGGAGCUAGAGCAAGUCUGUUGGUACCCGAAAGAUGGUGAACUAUGCCUGGGCAGGACGAGGCCAGAGGAAACUCUGGUGGAAGUCCGUAGCGAUUCUGACGUGCAAAUCGAUCGUCGGACCUGGGUAUAGGGGCGAAAGACUAAUCGAACCAUCUAGUAGCUGGUUCCCUCCGAAGUUUCCCUCAGGAUAGCUGGCAUUCGGAGGAGAGAGGUGCAGUUUCAUCCGGUAAAGCGAAUGAUUAGAGGAACUUGGGGUCGAAACGACCUCAACCUAUUCUCAAACUUUCAAUGGGUGAGAAGACCAGUAUGCUCGACUGAAUUCUGGCACACCUUCAUUGAGAAUGCGAGUGCCAAGUGGGCCACUUUUGGUAAGCAGAACUGGCGCUGUGGGAUGAACCAAACGCCGGGUUAAGGCGCCCGAUGCGGACGCUCAUCAGAGCCCAUGAAAGGUGUUGGUUGCUAUAGACAGCAGGACGGUGGCCAUGGAAGUCGGAAUCCGCUAAGGAGUGUGUAACAACUCACCUGCCGAAGCAACUAGCCCUGAAAAUGGAUGGCGCUCCAGCGUUGAGCCCAUACCCGGCCGCUGGUGGUAAAGCAUUGCUGAUACCCCAGCGAGUAGGAGGGUCACGACGGUGUGCGUGGAAGGUGUCGGGCGUAGGCCCGCCUGGAGCCGCCGUCGGUGCAGAUCUUGGUGGUAGUAGCAAAUACUCAAGUGAGACUCCUUGAGGACCGAAGUGGAGAAGGGUUCCAUGUGAACAGCAGUUGAACAUGGGUCAGUCGGCCCUAAGGAAUGGGAAAAUUCCGUUCCGAUCGGUUGGGCGUUAAGAGCCAAUGCCUGCUAUAGACCGAAAGGGAAUCCGGUUAAUAUUCCGGAACCUGGACACAGGGAUCGGUUCUGCCUACAUUCCGACUUCGGCCGGGUGGGGCAGGACCCGUGGCGGUAACGCAAACAAGCUCGGAGACUGUCGGUGGGGGUCCCGGGAAGAGUUUUCUUUUCUUUGUAAGGGACGGACUCCAUGGAAUCGGCUUGCCCGGAGAUAUGGACGUUGUUCCCGGAAAGCACCACGGCUCUUGUGGUGUCCGGUGCACUUCCACCGUCCCAUGAAAAUCCGAGUUUGCGAUAUGAUCUUUGUGCCAGACCGUACCCAUAUCCGCAGCAGGUCUCCAAGGUGAACAGCCUCUGGUCGAUAGAACAAUGUAGGUAAGGGAAGUCGGCAAGCCAGAUCCGUAACUUCGGGAUAAGGAUUGGCUCUGAGGGCUGGGCCGGUCGGGCUGGAGUUGGAAGCGGGUGCGGGCACCGCAGCGGGGCUGGGCGAGUCCACUACCUCUGGUUGUGGUACGAGCUCGGACCUGGCGACGGGACCUUCUCGUGGAAAGCACCAGCUGCGCGGCGGUGGGGCAUCAUAGGGGGCUUGGUGGUUCUGCUGCCGGUCUCCUCCCAUCGAUCGCUUCGUCCGGUGUGUAACAGCCAACUCAGAACUGGCACGGACCAGGNNNNNNNNNNNNNNNNNNNNNNNNNNNNNNNNNNNNNNNNNNNNNNNNNNNNNNNNNNNNNNNNNNNNNNNNNNNNNNNNNNNNNNNNNNNNNNNNNNNNGCAGCGUUGGAUGUUCACCCACUAAUAGGGAACGUGAGCUGGGUUUAGACCGUCGUGAGACAGGUUAGUUUUACCCUACUAAUGACUCGUCACUGCGAUAGUAAUCCUGCUCAGUACGAGAGGAACCGCAGGUUCGGACCGGUGGUCCUUGUGCUUGGCCGAACGGCCAGUGGUGCGAAGCUACCAUCCGUUGGAUUACGACUGAACGCCUCUAAGUCGGAAUCCAUUCUAGUCAUGUGCAGUGAUACUGUGCGUGCCUCGUGUGCCUUGGGUGGCAAUGCCAGGUGAGCAGGUCUAUUUGGCUGGGAGCGGCUGCAGUCUCGAGCAAUCGGGGUUGUUAGUUGUUGCCCAGCCAUUAGCUUGUCACCGGUCAUGCCUUUCUCGAGGAGGAAACCUUCGCUGGUGCUGUGAGUCCCGUGCCAGCUUGCCUCGUUUCGACGAACUUGCGUAGCAUUGUCGAGGUGCCAAAUCGUUCGUAGACGACCUAGGUACCAGUCGGGGUGUCGUACUUAGUAGAGCAGCUCCCACACUGCGAUCA